CCCUCCUCAUUUAUCAGUCAUUGGGCAUCUCUUAUAAAAGGGGUGAGCAUCAGUUGAUGCAAAACAAUUAAUCACCCCAUGAUUCAACUUGGAAAAGUAGCUUGCUAAAAAAAGUUUUGGAAUUUGGAAUGGAACAACCGAGUGGCUCGUUAAACGUUAUAGAUCACAUGGAGGACGAGGAAGUCAUUUGGCUAUUAAAUAUGAGGGAAAGGGAGGAAAAUCUUGAGUAUCUAGAAGCGCCGGACCAACCACUCAUAUUAAUUGAAAGCAAAACCAAUGAUGAGAUUUAAGAAGCUCCCGAAAAUUGGUGGAUUGAUUCUAAGGUCGACGGCAACAUCCAACCGAAGUCAACCGAGGACUUCAAUCCUCUUGCGAAGCCACACCCGAACAAGUAUUCCUUCAAAUGUGCUAUAGCGGCCUACAUGAUCCCCAUUUUACUCGAUUUUGAGAAAGGAGUGAUGAGCGGGGCAUGCUAUACGUAAAGAGGGAGUUGAAGAUAACCGACGUGUAGGCUGACGUCUUUACAGGGAUCCUCAACGUGUUCUCGCCCCUCGAGUCGGCAAUUGCGGGUCGAAUCUAUGACAGGAUUGGCCGCCGUUACACGAUCCUAUUGGCAAGGGCCACGAUCCUGUUGGCAAGGGCCAUUUUCUUCUUCCCGCCCAUCCUCAUGGGCUUCGCCCAUGACUACACCUUCCUUGUAUUGGGCCCUGCCGUUGCUAACAUCGACGUUGACUACACCCUCAUGAUCGCCCCUAUUUACAUCGCAGAGUUCAAGUGUUCAUCAAUGUCAGCACCCUCGUUGGCUACAUCUCCAUCUAAGCUUUCUCAAAGCUCCAUUUCAACCUCGGGUGGCGUGUCAAGCUUAGCAUGGGAGCAAUCUCCUUGGUCCUGCUCUUCAUCGGAGUCCUUGUCAAGUCGGAAUCCCCAGUAGCUCAUCAUUGAGGUCUCCUCUGCCUUCUCCCGUGGCUUCUUUACCUCCUUCCCUAAGGUGUUCAUCAAUGUCGGCACCAUGUUGGCUACAUAUCCAUCUACACCUUCUCAAAGCUCCAUUUCAACCUCGGGUGGCGUGUCAAGCUCAGCAUGGGAGCAAUCUCUUUGGUCCUGGUCGUCAUCGGGAUCCUUGUCAAGUCACAAUCCCUGGUGGCUCAUCAUGCAAGGCUGCCUAGGCGACGCAAAUCACUCCCUCGCCAGGACCUCCGAUUCGAAGAAGGAGGCCGCACUCCGGCUCGCCAAUAUCAAUGAGGCUGCCGACAUCCCAAAGGAGUGCAACGAGGAUGUUGUCAAGAUCAUCAAGCAAAGCGUCGGAGAGGGCAUGUGGCCGGAGGACAUAUGGCGGAAUCUCCUUCUCCAACUAAUCUGUCCAUCCGCCACAUGCUCAAUUGGAUCGUUGGGAUCCACUUCUUGCAUCAAGCAUGUGGCAUCGACACCAUCCUCUAAAUCGUGGUCCUCCAUGUACUCCAUGACGUUUAAUAA
Long non-coding RNA from Syzygium oleosum, 1473 nucleotides. RefSeq lists it as uncharacterized. The record is from RefSeq and is a predicted model, not a curated record. The transcript is spliced from 5 exons. Lineage: Eukaryota; Viridiplantae; Streptophyta; Magnoliopsida; Myrtales; Myrtaceae.